GCCGUCCAGCCAGUAUGGUGGAUAGGACCCUCGGCUUGUAACCGAGUGGGUUCGGGUUCGAAUCCUGAGUAAGGCA
Molecule: transfer RNA, 76 nt
Filed under: Trichonephila inaurata madagascariensis
Lineage: Eukaryota; Metazoa; Arthropoda; Arachnida; Araneae; Nephilidae
Description: tRNA-Thr
Source: RNAcentral